GCGAUUGGGAGCAGCGCAAACGCAUCAAUUUGUUCAACGAGACGACGAUCAUCCCAUCAGGGCAGCUAUUGAAGUCAUAUUUGUGUUCUACAAUGACACAAGAUAGACUGAAUGAUUUGGCCAUAAUCGCACUCGAGAGUGAGAUGUUGGAGAAGAUUGCAUAUGAGAACAUCGUCGAAGAUUUCAUUUCAAAGAACACCAAAAGAAUGAUGUUGUUCAAGUAAAGACUAUGCAAUCGAGGUUCGAAAUGGGCCUCUGAUUUUGUCGGGAUGGCCCUGUCUACACUCUAUAAGCAUUGGUGAGUUUGCCAUGCAUCGAAAUUUGAGAGCUAAAGGGCUUGAAGGUGAAGCAUGUCAUUCGCAUAUUUUUUGCUUGUGGCCAUUUGUGUGUGGCUUCUUUACAAUAUCAAGAAUCCACGAGACAUGAAGAACGAUGAGAAAAUCGGGAGGAAGGAGCUGAGGCCGCGGAUGGAUGGGGUUGAGAGAGGCAGAGGCGAAGAAGUGGAGAGUGGAGAGCGCGAUGGCGAAGAGAUGGAUGAAUGGGAGAAGGAGAGGAGCGGAGAGGUUCGAGUUGAGGUAGAAGUAGAGCAUGAUCAAAUGCAAGAUCUCAUUGAUGAAGACGACAAGGAUUAAUUUUUGGGAUUUUCAUGAAAAAAGAAGAGGUGGAUUGAUGAAUAUUGUAUGAUUUGAAGGCAACCAAAAAUGCAACUUUUUUUAGAGGUGUGUAUAGUACAAA
This is a long non-coding RNA of Salvia splendens (bonfire salvia), 735 nucleotides long. RefSeq lists it as uncharacterized. Lineage: Eukaryota; Viridiplantae; Streptophyta; Magnoliopsida; Lamiales; Lamiaceae. The transcript is spliced from 3 exons. The record is from RefSeq and is a predicted model, not a curated record.